CCUACGGGUGGCAGCAGUGGGGAAUAUUGCACAAUGGGGGAAACCCUGAUGCAGCGACGCCGCGUGAGUGAAGAAGCAUCUCGGUGCGUAAAGCCCUAUCAGCAGGGAAGAAAAUGACGGUACCUGACUAAGAAGCCCCGGCUAACUACGUGCCAGCAGCCGCGGUAAUACGUAGGGGGCAAGCGUUAUCCGGAUUUACUGGGUGUAAAGGGGGCGUAGACGGCGGUGCAAGCCAGAUGUGAAAGCCCGGGGCUCAACCCCGGGACUGCAUUUGGAACUGCGCUGCUAGAGUGGCGGAGAGGCAGGCGGAAUGCCUGGUGUAGCGGUGAAAUGCGUAGAUAUUAGGAGGAACACCGGUGGCGAAGGCGGCCUGCUGGACGGUGACUGACGUUGAGGCACGAAAGCGUGGGGAGCAAACAGGAUUAGAUACCCUUGUAGUC
This 440-nucleotide ribosomal RNA is filed under the name uncultured bacterium. RNAcentral's name for it is "partial 16S ribosomal RNA". It matches the Rfam family "Bacterial small subunit ribosomal RNA", at positions 338 to 795 of the family's 1533-position model. The record is from RNAcentral.